This 102-nucleotide non-coding RNA is filed under the name Haloplasma contractile. RNAcentral's name for it is "Guanine sequence". It matches the Rfam family "Purine riboswitch aptamer". From Rfam's summary of the family: Riboswitches are metabolite binding domains within certain messenger RNAs that serve as precision sensors for their corresponding targets. RNAcentral also lists the same sequence under 1 other name. Lineage: Bacteria; Bacillati; Mycoplasmatota; Mollicutes; Haloplasmatales; Haloplasmataceae. The record is from RNAcentral.
AUUGAAUAAUUGCAUUAAAGUCGUAUAACGUCGGUAAUAUGGUCCGAAAGUCUCUACCUACCAACCGUAAAUUGGUAGACUACGCUUUGUGUUUGUAUAAAU